UGGGGAAUAUUGCACAAUGGAGGGAACUCUGAUGCAGCAACGCCGCGUGCGGGAUGACGGCCUUCGGGUUGUAAACCGCUUUCAGCCAUGACGAAGCUUUUGUGACGGUAGUGGUAGAAGAAGCACCGGCUAACUACGUGCCAGCAGCCGCGGUGAUACGUAGGGUGCGAGCGUUGUCCGGAAUUAUUGGGCGUAAAGAGCUUGUAGGCGGUUUGUCGCGUCGAUAGUGUAAACACGCAGCUUAACUGUGUGCCUGCUGUCGAUACGGGCUGACUAGAGGAGGGUAGGGGAGAAUGGAAUUCCCGGUGGAGCGGGGGAAUGCGCAGAUAUCGGGAGGAACACCAGUGGCGAAGGCGGUUCUCUGGACCUUUCCUGACGCUGAGAAGCGAAAGCGUGGGUAGCAAACAGG
This 409-nucleotide ribosomal RNA is filed under the name Fusobacteriota bacterium. RNAcentral's name for it is "Fusobacteria bacterium partial 16S ribosomal RNA". It matches the Rfam family "Bacterial small subunit ribosomal RNA", at positions 355 to 776 of the family's 1533-position model. The record is from RNAcentral. Lineage: Bacteria; Fusobacteriati; Fusobacteriota.